Molecule: long non-coding RNA, 624 nt
Organism: Hydra vulgaris (swiftwater hydra)
Lineage: Eukaryota; Metazoa; Cnidaria; Hydrozoa; Anthoathecata; Hydridae
Source: RefSeq, a predicted model, not a curated record
GUAGUAUGCUAUAAGUAAAUUUUUCUAGAUCAACAAAAAAGAAUUCAAAUGAUGCAUAAAGUAAUAUGAAUGUAGUUUUUGUUUUAAAUAUUAAAAUUAUUUGUUAUUAAUUAUUUGAGUUAUUAUUCAGAAAUAUUGAGCUAAAUUUGAAUGAUAUUAAAUAUAUAUGUAGAAGCAAAUGGUGAUAAGCAGCUGCAACAAACCACUAAUAACUUAGAGGCAUUGGACGACACAAACAGUUCUUCUGAAACUGUUUAUUAUGGAGUGUAAAAUAAGAUAAGAUAUUACUUCUUUAUGUUUUGCACAAAUCUUAAUUUCUAGUGAUUUAAUAAUAUUAAAACUGUAACUUUUUUUUUAAACCCAAAUCUGUCCUUGUAAGUAUGUAAUAUACUUGCUUUAAUAUAAUACAAUUUUCAGUUAAAUUUGAUAUGUUUUCAGAAUAUGACAAGCACAAUGAACACAGAACCAAAACUUUGUAAUAGUUGUGAAACCAAAAAUACAAAGUUUUGGUUAAUUGUGGCAAAAUAAUAUAAUUAUGGCAAAAUUUUCAGAGAAGCUAACAAAAACAAGAUGGAAAAAAAAGUAAGAAGUUAGAACUAUAAUGACUGAGCAAUUAUGAGGAGC